Non-coding RNA from Mayamaea pseudoterrestris, 72 nucleotides. NCBI's taxonomy places the organism in Eukaryota, Bacillariophyta, Bacillariophyceae, Sellaphorales, Sellaphoraceae. The record is from the annotation of a GenBank genome assembly.
UCCCCAUUGGCGCAAUGGUAGCGCGUUCGACUUCUAAUCGAAAGGCUGCAAGUUCGAGUCCUGCAUGGGGAA